CCUACGGGACGCACCAGUGGGGAAUAUUGCACAAUGGGCGCAAGCCUGAUGCAGCCAUGCCGCGUGUAUGAAGAAGGCCUUCGGGUUGUAAAGUACUUUCAGCGAGGAGGAAGGCGUUAAGGUUAAUAACCUUAGCGAUUGACGUUACUCGCAGAAGAAGCACCGGCUAACUCCGUGCCAGCAGCCGCGGUAAUACGGAGGGUGCAAGCAUUAAUCGGAAUUACUGGGCGUAAAGUGCACGCAGGCGGUCUGUCAAGUCGGAUGUGAAAUCCCCGGGCUCAACCUGGGAACUGCAUUCGAAACUGGCAGGCUAGAGUCUUGUAGAGGGGGGUAGAAUUCCAGGUGUAGCGGUGAAAUGCGUAGAGAUCUGGAGGAAUACCGGUGGCGAAGGCGGCCCCCUGGACAAAGACUGGCGCUCAGAUGCGAAAGCGUGGGGAGCAAACAGGAUUAGAUACCCGAGUAGUC
This 465-nucleotide ribosomal RNA is filed under the name uncultured bacterium. Its description in RNAcentral is "bacterial SSU rRNA". It matches the Rfam family "Bacterial small subunit ribosomal RNA", at positions 338 to 795 of the family's 1533-position model. The record is from RNAcentral.